Molecule: long non-coding RNA, 3814 nt
Filed under: Volvox carteri
Lineage: Eukaryota; Viridiplantae; Chlorophyta; Chlorophyceae; Chlamydomonadales; Volvocaceae
Description: long non-coding RNA (VCAR_LNC001406)
Source: RNAcentral
AUGCGAACAUGCCAGCUGCCCUUGCCCCAGACGGCUUGGAUCAUGACGGACAUUUAGAGGAGGCUCAUUUUCGCGGGUUGGUAGCCCGUGCAGUUCGGCCAGUCAAGAGCCCUACCCCUGAGCUACGCGAGUUGCUAAGCAGCAAAGUAAACACCGACCUUCAGUACCUCGACCACCAGCAGCUGGUCACAUGUUUGACUGACAACUUUGACAUGUUCGCCUUAACCAACCGAGAGCUAGGGCUUACGUCCUGGGUGUCCAUGAAGGUGGACACAGGAGAUCAUCCUCCUAUCGUGCAGAAUCCUUACCGUCUGUCACGAACGGAGAAAGCCGCCGUUGAUGCUGAGAUGCGGCAGAUGCUACAGGACGGAAUCAUCGAACUGUCCAACAGUCCUUGGGUGUCUCCAGUAGUAGUCGUUCCCAAGAAAAACGGAGAACUCCGGCCCUGUGUGGAUAUGCGGAGGGUCAACGACGUCACUAAGGACAUCCGGUUUCCGAUAGGCCACAUCCAGGAUAUUUUGGAUAUUGCUGCACCUCCGGGUGGCGAGACUCGUUACUACUCCAGCCUGGACUUGAAGUCGGGCUACUGGCAAGUCCCGAUGGCGGACGAGGCUUCUAAGGAGCGUACGGCAUUUGCCACGCCCACAGCUCAGUAUCGAUAUGUACGAAUGCCCAUGGGUCUAAAGGGAGCAGCCGCCGUGUUCGCUACCCUGAUGCACAAGGUUCUGGGCCCACUACUAGAGGAUUCGCCUCCACCCCCUGCUUCAUUGGAUAGCCCACCGCGGGAACGGUGUGUAGUGGUUUAUCUGGAUGAUAUCCUUAUCUUCAGCCCAACACUACAAGAUCAUGUACGACAUCUUCAGCAAGUGUUCGACCUUCUCCGAAUGGCUGGUCUCAAGAUCGCAGCUAAGAAGUGCACGUUUGGCCAACAACGCGUGGUUUUCCUUGGUCAUCUACUUGACGGAGUACGUGGUGUCGUGGGACCUAACCCCACCAACGUCAUGAAAAUUGCAGAACUUCCGUCGCCAUCCAAUGUUUGCGAAGUACGAGCUUGGCUGGGAGCUGUUGGUUACUACCGGGAACUUAUCCCUGGCUUCGGCUUGAUUGCACAACCAUUGUAUGCGCUACUUAAGCAGGGGACACCCUGGUGCUGGGGUCCAAGAGAAGAAGACGCUUUUCAAGAGCUACAUAAUACUUUGCUGCGGGAGCCUGUUCUCCGCGCACCUGAUUUCCGACGGCCGUUCUUGGUCCAAGUCGACUGGUGCCGCACUGCCGUCGCUGCGUGCCUGGCCCAGCAGGACAACAAAGGAUAUGAACACGCCGUUCAGUUUGCUAGUAAGGCUAUGACUGGCUCACAGCUGAAUUACAGCGCGGCAGAUGGAGAGGCCUACGCUGCCUUAUGGGCAAUUAAACACUUUCACCCCUACUUGUACGGCACUCAUUUUGUACUCAUCACGGAUUCAAUGGUGGUUCGGUCUUUACGGACUGCACGCGCUCGAGAUCUUCUGGGAAGGCUGGCUUGAUAUGCGCUCAAGCUUCAAGCCUACGACUUUGAAGUGAUGCAUAAGGCUGGACGCAAGAAUUCAAACGUGGACGGUUUGAGCCGCUUGGGACAUCUGAUGGAGCCCCACCGUAAUUUGCCUACGGAGAUCGACCCCAUUCCGGACCCACUUGAGGAUGUCGCCAUCUUGGCAUGCUCAAUUGCAGCCGUCGCCUCCGAGGUUCAGAUCCUCAUAACUGAACAGGAAGAGGAGUGUAGCCGCGGCAUCAGGCCGGAUGAACCGUCCACAGUGGCUGUACACCAGCCUCCGGCUCCAUCGUUGCCUACACCAGAGCACAACCCCUUGCGUGAAGCAACCAGAACCCUGGUCCCGCUUGGCAAGCGACGCUUGGAUAGGACAGCUCGUCUGACAUCUGGAACACCAGCUGAGAUACCUGCAGUACAACACGCACGGCAACACCGUCGCCGUCACGCUGUGAAUCCACGUUUAGCAGAUUACGCGGAGCCACCUGCUUCCGAAAGCCCCAAUAGUGAUGAUGACCCCGGAAUGAUCUGUUCGGUCUAUCUACGAGGGCGGCCGACGUCCACUCUUCUGCUCUGCGAUGAGCCUUCCUGCUGUCUGGGCUGGCACACUAUGUGUCUAGAUCCACCAUUGUCUGUGGUACCGGCUGGGCCAUGGUUUUGCCCACUUCAUAAUAGCAAACCAGCUCAACAUUCUGCAAAGCGUCGUCUGUCUACUGGCCCUGGCGAUACGCCAGCCAAGCGGGUGCGAUUUUCCCGAUCCCUGCCCACCCUGGACACACCCCGCCCGGCUGAUUAGCAAUUGGCUGGAGGUCCAGCCAUCAUUCACCCCCGGGCCACCCCAGGUCACCCUAUGGCCGACCGUAUUCCUACUCAGGGUUUGACCCCGUCACCUUCUCCUUCCUUGUCUUCCUCAAGCAAGGAGAGCGACUCAGGUCCGGAUUCCAAUGUUUUUACCCCAGAUAGUGGUAACAGCUCCGGCGAGACGCUGAAGCCUGGACCUCUUACCCCUACAGAAAUUUGGCAGGAUAAAGCAUUGAUUCGAUACUUAGAAUCUGGCAAGCUUCCUGUUGACGUUUCGGCGUCCAGGGAAGAUAAUUUGAGGGAGAUGACAAGAUUACGUAAAAAGGCUGCUCGAUAUGAACUUUCAAAUGGCCAGCUGUGGAAGCUGAGGGUUUUUCGGAUAAGCAAUCACGGGUGCGAGUUCUCAAACCUGAGGAACGCCUGGCAGCGCUUCAAGAGGCCCACGACAUGGCUCAUUGGGGAGUCGGCAAGACCUAUGACUUUCUUCGCAAGCAUUUCUUUUGGGAGAACAUGCGACAAGAUGUGCAGACACACGUGGCCAAGUGUCAGAAGUGUGCACCUGGCAAGCUGAGGCUUGUACGGCAACCACGACUUCGCCCCCUUCCGGUGGUACCACUGUGGGGAAGAGUACAUGUUGAUCUGAUGGGACCUUACAAGGAGACACCUCGCGGCAACAGCUAUCUGAUCGUGGCUGUAGACUCAUGGUCUAAAUGGCCCGAGGCAGGACCCCUGCCGGAUAAGAAAGCUAGCACUACUGCAUCAUGGUUCUGGCAACAGUGGGUGACACGCUAUGGAUCGCCAGAAGUGGUGAUGACGGAUCAAGGUCGAGAAUGGGAUGGCGAGUUUGCCCACCUGGUACGAGAGCAGAAAAUCACACAUCGACACACCGCUGCCUACUCACCUCCGAGCAAUGGACAGGCAGACCGUCUUGUCAGGGUACUGUUGACAAGCCUACACAAAUGCAUCAACGACCAGGAAGACAACUGGGACAUUGAGGUCUAUCAAAUUCUCUAUGGUUAUAGAGCUACCCGACAAGAUAGCACCCGGUUGAACCCGGCGCUAUGUGUGUUCGGCAAAGAACUUACAACGGUGGCUGAACGCAGCACCGCCCUGAAUCCCACACUACCGUCUGAGGACCCUAGCGGAGGUUAGCCCCGGCCAGGUGGCCAGGUUUCUGAAGGGGGGGGACGCUACAGCUGUAGCGACUUCCAGCUGGUCAUAGAGAACUGAGUUUGAUGGCUUUGGUUGCGUAUUGUUCCGGGCAUAGCAGGAGGCCGAAUAUUGCCAUAUCGUUAAUUAGAUUCUAUAAACGCGUUGAGAACGGUCAUAUGCUUACGGUGCACCGCAUAAAGACUGACGAAUGUAGGUUUCAAUCUCGCAACGUAAAAGCAGGCGGUUUGUGUCUUACGAUCUAGCUUCGGUCUGAGAAAUGUUCUAUGACAAAUAUCCUGUACUAGUUUCUUCUCAGUUUCCGUUGGCCGCCAUGAA